This 429-nucleotide ribosomal RNA is filed under the name bacterium. RNAcentral's name for it is "partial 16S ribosomal RNA". It matches the Rfam family "Bacterial small subunit ribosomal RNA", at positions 355 to 776 of the family's 1533-position model. The record is from RNAcentral.
UAGGGAAUCUUCCACAAUGGACGCAAGUCUGAUGGAGCAACGCCGCGUGAGUGAAGAAGGUUUUCGGAUCGUAAAGCUCUGUUGUUGGUGAAGAAGGAUAGAGGCAGUAACUGGUCUUUAUUUGACGGUAAUCAACCAGAAAGUCACGGCUAACUACGUGCCAGCAGCCGCGGUAAUACGUAGGUGGCAAGCGUUGUCCGGAUUUAUUGGGCGUAAAGCGAGCGCAGGCGGAAUGAUAAGUCUGAUGUGAAAGCCCACGGCUCAACCGUGGAACUGCAUCGGAAAAUGUCAUUCUUGAGUGCAGAAGAGGAGAGUGGAAUUCCAUGUGUAGCGGUGGAAUGCGUAGAUAUAUGGAAGAGCACCAGUGGCGAAGGCGGCUCUCUGGUCUGCAACUGACGCUGAGGCUCGAAAGCAUGGGUAGCGAACAGG